GACGAACGCUGGCGGCGUGCUUAACACAUGCAAGUCGAACGGAAAGGCCCUGCUUUUGUGGGGUGCUCGAGUGGCGAACGGGUGAGUAACACGUGAGUAACCUGCCCUUGACUUUGGGAUAACUUCAGGAAACUGGGGCUAAUACCGGAUAGGAGCUCCUGCUGCAUGGUGGGGGUUGGAAAGUUUCGGCGGUUGGGGAUGGACUCGCGGCUUAUCAGCUUGUUGGUGGGGUAGUGGCUUACCAAGGCUUUGACGGGUAGCCGGCCUGAGAGGGUGACCGGCCACAUUGGGACUGAGAUACGGCCCAGACUACUACGGGAGGCAGCAGUGGGGAAUAUUGCACAAUGGGCGGAAGCCUGAUGCAGCAACGCCGCGUGAGGGAUGACGGCCUUCGGGUUGUAAACCGCUUUCGCCUGUGACGAAGCGUGAGUGACGGUAAUGGGUAAAGAAGCACCGGCUAACUACGUG
RNAcentral lists this ribosomal RNA (468 nucleotides) under uncultured bacterium. Its description in RNAcentral is "partial 16S ribosomal RNA". It matches the Rfam family "Bacterial small subunit ribosomal RNA", at positions 28 to 507 of the family's 1533-position model. The record is from RNAcentral.